AGCACUCUAGACGAACUGCCGUUGACAAAACGGAGGAAGGUGGGGAUGACGUCAAAUCAUCAUGCCCCUUAUGUUCUGGGCUACACACGUGCUACAAUGGCCGGUACAGACGGAGGCGAAGCCGCGAGGCGGAGCAAAUCCGAAAAAGCCGGUCUCAGUUCGGAUUGCAGGCUGCAAUUCGCCUGCAUGAAGUCGGAAUCGCUAGUAAUCGCAGGUCAGCAUACUGCGGUGAAUACGUUCCCGGGCCUU
RNAcentral lists this ribosomal RNA (249 nucleotides) under uncultured Pelotomaculum sp. RNAcentral describes it as "partial 16S ribosomal RNA". It matches the Rfam family "Bacterial small subunit ribosomal RNA", at positions 1134 to 1382 of the family's 1533-position model. Lineage: Bacteria; Bacillati; Bacillota; Clostridia; Eubacteriales; Desulfotomaculaceae. The record is from RNAcentral.